RNAcentral lists this long non-coding RNA (1414 nucleotides) under Mus musculus (house mouse). RNAcentral's name for it is "RNA imprinted and accumulated in nucleus". Lineage: Eukaryota; Metazoa; Chordata; Mammalia; Rodentia; Muridae. The record is from RNAcentral.
GUGAGGUGGGUGGUGGCAGAGCCCAACAAGCUACAGUCAUUCCCAGCUAGGGUUUUACUUUUCUAAUGAAAUUAGCCUGUGGAUCUUUAAAAAGUAUGAAUAAAAAAAGAGGACAAAAUGGUCAAUUAUUACAAAGGAGUAUAAUGAGACAAAGGUUGUUGUUAAAUCUACUCAACAGUUGGGGCUUAAGAACCAUUUUGUUUAGGGGUACAUGGUCAUUAAGUGUUUGUCCUAUGUUGGUAACUGGUCUCCCAUAGUUGUUCCUAGUUCACUUCAACCCCACGAUCCUAAGCACACCUGUACCUGCCCUGGAAUCCCUCAGCCAUGUUUGUCCCACAGAGCAUCACUAUCAAACAGUUCACUGUGGACUCCUCGUAGCAGAAGUACAGUAGGGGACAGCAAGUGUCAGCUCCAUCAGGACCCCUGAUUUAAUUAUUUACUGUGGAACCAUUGUCCUGAGUCAGGAGGAUAGAUGAGGAAAGAAUGAGAGCGUGGCUGGCAUCGCUUCAUGAUUACAUUCUGGGAAAGAUCUUGCCUGUUAACCUCUAGAGAAGGAGGGACGAUACAGACAACCACUGGUGGAAGUUGUUGUUAAACAGUGGGUCUUGCAUGCAAGCUCUACAGUUAUGCACAGUAUUUCCAUGACAUCCCAAGCCAUGAGGUUCAUGCUGCCAUAUCCCCCUGUUUAACAAGUGUGGAAACUGAUGUAAGUGGAGUCAAAGUCUUGGUUUGGGUGGCCAUCGUAAAUGUUCCUGCUAAGAUAGGCAUAGGCUCCAGUAAGAUCAACUCAACAUGAUCAUAAAUACCAUGUUGAGGAUUUCCAAAAUUUAGAGAAAUGACAGAGAGUCACAGGGGCACAAACUCUGUUGAUGAACUUCAAUACACCAAGAUCUUGUGCAAGGAUCUGUGAUGAAGAGUUAUGUAAAUAUUCUAAUUGAUCCAUAUAGUUGUUAAUAAAAGGGGAAAGUGUGAGAGAAGUUGAAGGACAGUGUUGAGUCAAUGAUGGCCAGUGAUGAUGUAUGAAUCGGGAUCAUAGCUACAGGUCUGGUCGUCAGAGGUCCACACCCAAACACGUGUAGUGUGGAGCUGUGAUAUAGAUAUUGGAUGUAAAUUAGUGUGUUAAAAUCCUUAGGUUCAUCUGUUUUCAUUCUACCCGGACUUAGAUUAAACUAAAUGAAAGAGGUCAAAGCAUUCUCUAAUUAUUUAAAUAACACCAAGUAGUACUACUAACAGUAUGAAUAUCAAAGUUUAGAAAUUCAUUAGUAAUAAAUGGCCAGAGUUAGAAACCCUUAGCUGAGAAUUUUGUGUGCUGUUUUAAAUGGCGGACAAAAUUCUCGUUUGGUUAAGAACCUGGUCUCCUGUUUAUUUUCUAGAGAAGAAUGUAUCACAGCUUCAUGUAACUCGAGGGGUAAAA